RNAcentral lists this ribosomal RNA (252 nucleotides) under uncultured bacterium. RNAcentral describes it as "partial 16S ribosomal RNA". It matches the Rfam family "Bacterial small subunit ribosomal RNA", at positions 524 to 776 of the family's 1533-position model. The record is from RNAcentral.
UACGGAGGGGCUAGCGUUGUUCGGAAUUACUGGGCGUAAAGCGCACGUAGGCGGAUCAGAAAGUCAGAGGUGAAAUCCCAGGGCUCAACCUUGGAACUGCCUUUGAAACUCCUGAUCUUGAGGUCGAGAGAGGUGAGUGGAAUUCCGAGUGUAGAGGUGAAAUUCGUAGAUAUUCGGAGGAACACCAGUGGCGAAGGCGGCGCACUGGCUCGAUACUGACGCUGAGGUGCGAAAGCGUGGGGAGCAAACAGG